This 233-nucleotide long non-coding RNA is filed under the name Homo sapiens (human). Its description in RNAcentral is "long non-coding RNA NONHSAT056013". Lineage: Eukaryota; Metazoa; Chordata; Mammalia; Primates; Hominidae. The record is from RNAcentral.
GAGUGGACACUCGGGGUGCAGCAGACAGUGGACGCGAGGCACAGCGACUACCAGUCACCCACCUGAGCCUCCUGCCACAGCCUUCAUCUCCGUCUUGGGCGUCUGCCCCCUGUACCUGGAUGAGAUCCGGCACUUCCUGACCCUAUGUCCAGAGCUGUCCCUGGGCUGGUUCGAGGAGGGCUGCCUUGUGGCCUUCAUCAUCGGCUCGCUCUGGGACAAGGAGAGACUCAUGC